Trematomus bernacchii (emerald rockcod) is the source of this 160-nucleotide long non-coding RNA. RefSeq lists it as uncharacterized. Lineage: Eukaryota; Metazoa; Chordata; Actinopteri; Perciformes; Nototheniidae. The transcript is spliced from 3 exons. The record is from RefSeq and is a predicted model, not a curated record.
GAAAAGGCAAGAGGGCAAAGAAAAGGAGGCCUUUUCUGGAGGAGGACGACGACGUGGAACAGUCAGAGGAGAGACCAAGCAAAAAAUCACGGCUGGAGUCAUCAGACAUUAUCAAAAAAUAUAAGGAUCUUCAGAAGGCCCAAGAGGUGAACGAAAAGAG